This 253-nucleotide ribosomal RNA is filed under the name uncultured bacterium. Its description in RNAcentral is "partial 16S ribosomal RNA". It matches the Rfam family "Bacterial small subunit ribosomal RNA", at positions 524 to 776 of the family's 1533-position model. The record is from RNAcentral.
CACGUAGGGGGCGAGCGUUGUCCGGAUUUAUUGGGCGUAAAGAGCGUGUAGGCGGCCAGGUAGGUCUGCUGUGAAAACUCGAGGCUCAACCUCGAGACGUCGGCGGAAACCAUCUGGCUAGAGUCCGGAAGAGGAGAGUGGAAUUCCUGGUGUAGCGGUGAAAUGCGCAGAUAUCAGGAAGAACACCCGUGGCGAAGGCGGCUCUCUGGGACGGUACUGACGCUGAGGAGCGAAAGCGUGGGGAGCGAACAGG